RNAcentral lists this ribosomal RNA (508 nucleotides) under uncultured bacterium. RNAcentral's name for it is "partial 16S ribosomal RNA". The record is from RNAcentral.
GGAGUUAGCCGGUGCUUCUUCUGUGAGUGAUGUCCUUCCUGCCGGCUAUUAACCCGCAGGCCUUCUUCCUCACUGAAAGUGCUUUACAACCCGAAGGCCUUCUUCACACACGCGGCAUGGCUGGAUCAGGGUUGCCCCCAUUGUCCAAUAUUCCCCACUGCUGCCUCCCGUAGGAGUCUGGGCCGUGUCUCAGUCCCAGUGUGGCUGAUCAUCCUCUCAGACCAGCUACGGAUCGUCGCCUUGGUGAGCCGUUACCUCACCAACCAGCUAAUCCGACAUAGGCUCAUCCGAUAGCGCGAGGCCCGAAGGUCCCCCGCUUUCCCCCGUAGGGCGUAUGCGGUAUUAGCCUGGGUUUCCCCAGGUUAUCCCCCACUACCGGGCAGAUUCCUAUGCAUUACUCACCCGUCCGCCGCUCGCCACCAGGGAGCAAGCUCCCCGUGCUGCCGCUCGACUUGCAUGUGUUAGGCCUGCCGCCAGCGUUCAAUCUGAGCCAGGAUACAAACUCUGA